Molecule: long non-coding RNA, 1017 nt
Filed under: Camelus dromedarius (Arabian camel)
Lineage: Eukaryota; Metazoa; Chordata; Mammalia; Artiodactyla; Camelidae
Description: lncRNA (ENSCDRG00005006899.1)
Source: RNAcentral
CAGGAAAAGAGCUCCCUGGAGCUGGCGGGGCGGUGCCAGGUGGCCAGGCGGAUGCUGGCGGUCUGGUGCGUGCCUGCAUGCACACUUCUGGUCUCCAGCGGCGCUGUGCGCUGUGCGGGGGCAGUCCCAGCAGCCCCGGAGUCUGCAGUGAGUAAGACUACCCGGGAAAGAGUUUUUUUUGUUUGUUUGUUUGGUUGAUUGGUUUUUUUCGCCUUUAAAGGCAAGCGUUCCUGGCAGCCAGAAGAAAAAAAAUGCUUUGUUGAGUCAGCUGUAGCUGAUUCAAGUUGGUGCUGGCGGGGCUGGGGCUGGGAUGGGAGAGCCCCGAUCCAUAGGAGGUUCUGCCCCACACAGUCUCCCAGGCUGUGGGUAAACACGGCGGUGGACUCCUGGAAGGCCUGACAGGCCAGGCGGGACAGUUCUGUGUGCUUAAUAUUUUCCUUCUGACUUGCUCACCUGUUCCAACCACCUGCUCUCAGAGAAGUUUUCAGCUUCCUUUCUUUAUUGUUUCACCUACCCCUCUCCGGCCCUCUGCGCGCUGUCUCAUUAGGGCCACCACCUGCUCACCGCUGCUGAUGGGGAAUAUUGAAGGAACACUUGCCCCAUUCUCUUCUGGGCGCCAGGCUUGUCUGUCCAGCUGCCUCCAGAACAGCCCUCUGAAUGUUGCACAGACAGGCAUGUUCUGUGCCCCAUGGCAGAAUAUGACCACCACACAAUGCCAGAAUUUACCUGGGACCAUUUCAACAACCCUCAAGGCUGACUUGACUGUCUUCUGGUCUUGAUUCUAAGUUUCUAGAUGAGACAAGCAGAUCGGCUAAGUUUGGGUGAGAUGUCUGUCCUGGGUUCUAUUGGCUGUGAUCUGGUGAUGGGUCAUAGAAAAUAAACAAGGCUGGCAGUCCUCACCUCUGUGUGAGCGUGGGGUGGAGGAAGGAUGUUUGACUCCUGGUCACAUAGGCAAACAUGUGCAUCUGUUAAAAAGGUUAUUGAAUGGAGAGUUACGUUCAUUGACAUGGAAGGUCC